Molecule: ribosomal RNA, 428 nt
Filed under: uncultured bacterium
Lineage: Bacteria
Description: bacterial SSU rRNA
Rfam family: Bacterial small subunit ribosomal RNA
Source: RNAcentral
GAGGAAUAUUGCGCAAUGGUCGCAAGACUGACGCAGCAACGCCGCGUGAGGGAUGAAGUACUUCGGUAUGUAAACCUCUGUUAGAAGGGAAGAACGGGUGGAUGUCGAACAGGCAUUCAUCGUGACGGUACCUUCAGAGAAAGCCCCGGCUGACUCCGUGCCAGCAGCCGCGGUAAUACGGGGGGGGCAAGCGUUGUCCGGAAUUAUUGGGCGUAAAGGGCGCGUAGGUGGGACAGCAAGUCUGGGGUGCAAUCUUACGGCUUAACUGUAAGGUUGCCCUGGAUACUACUGUUCUUGAGUACGGAAGAGGGUAGUGGAAGUCCUGGUGUAGCGGUGAAAUGCGUAGAUAUCAGGAAGAACACCGGUGGCGAAGGCGGCUACCUGGUCCGAUACUGACACUGAGGCGCGAAAGUGCGGGGAGCAAACAG